This 76-nucleotide transfer RNA is filed under the name Caudoviricetes sp. RNAcentral's name for it is "tRNA-Arg". It matches the Rfam family "tRNA". Rfam says of the family: Transfer RNA (tRNA) molecules are approximately 80 nucleotides in length. Their secondary structure includes four short double-helical elements and three loops (D, anti-codon, and T loops). Further hydrogen bonds mediate the characteristic L-shaped molecular structure. tRNAs have two regions of fundamental functional importance: the anti-codon, which is responsible for specific mRNA codon recognition, and the 3' end, to which the tRNAs corresponding amino acid is attached (by aminoacyl-tRNA synthetases). tRNAs cope with the degeneracy of the genetic code in two manners: having more than one tRNA (with a specific anti-codon) for a particular amino acid; and 'wobble' base-pairing, i.e. permitting non-standard base-pairing at the 3rd anti-codon position. The record is from RNAcentral. Lineage: Duplodnaviria; Heunggongvirae; Uroviricota; Caudoviricetes.
GUGGGAGUAGUUUAACGGUUGAAAACGGUGGCCUCCGGUUCCGCAGAUAGGGGUUCGACUCCCCCCUCUCACUCCA